GGAAGUGUAGCAUAGUGGUAAGGUGCGGGGCUUGGAACCGAAAGGUUGCUGGUUCGAUUCCCCACUGGAG
RNAcentral lists this transfer RNA (70 nucleotides) under Megalops atlanticus (tarpon). RNAcentral describes it as "tRNA-OTHER". Lineage: Eukaryota; Metazoa; Chordata; Actinopteri; Elopiformes; Megalopidae. The record is from RNAcentral.